This is an RNA transcript of Peromyscus californicus insignis, 1609 nucleotides long. It is a transcript of the gene named diphthamide biosynthesis 1, with no coding region annotated. The record is from RefSeq and is a predicted model, not a curated record. The transcript has 13 exons. Lineage: Eukaryota; Metazoa; Chordata; Mammalia; Rodentia; Cricetidae.
AUUGUGCUGCCUGGGUUCUCCGCGUUCUUCCAGCACUGCCUUUUUGGUCCCCACGUGGGUUCCAGGGUGAUGGCGGCGCUGGUUGUGUCGGAGACAGCGGAGCCAGGAAGCCGGGUCGGCCCUGGCAGAGGUCGCAUCUCUCGGGGUCGACUGGCCAAUCAGAUCCCCCCUGAGAUCCUGAACAAUCCCCAGCUGCAGGCUGCCGUCCAAGCCCUGCCUUCUAACUACAACUUUGAGAUCCCCAAGACCAUCUGGAGGAUCCAACAAGCCCAGGCCAAGAAGGUGGCCUUACAAAUGCCAGAAGGCCUCCUCCUCUUUGCUUGCACCAUUGUGGAUAUCUUGGAAAGGUUCACAGAGGCUGAAGUGAUGGUGAUGGGUGAUGUGACCUAUGGGGCCUGCUGUGUAGAUGACUUCACUGCAAGGGCCUUGGGAGUCGACUUUCUGGUGCACUAUGGCCACAGCUGUCUAGUUCCCAUGGACACGUCUGUCCAAGACUUCCGUGUGCUGUAUGUCUUUGUGGAUAUCCGCAUAGAUACUGCCCACCUUCUGGACUCGGUCCGCCUUACCUUCACCCCAGGCACUUCACUUGCUCUGGUCAGCACUAUUCAGUUUGUGUCAACUUUGCAGGCAGCUGCACAGGAGCUGAAAGCUGAUUAUCGUGUCAAUGUCCCACAGUGCAAGCCCCUCUCCCCUGGGGAGAUCCUAGGCUGCACAUCCCCUCGACUACCCAAGGAUGUGGAAGCUCUCGUGUAUCUUGGAGAUGGCCGCUUCCAUCUGGAGUCUGUCAUGAUUGGCAACCCUAAUGUCCCUGCUUACCGGUACGACCCAUACAGCAAAGUUCUAUCCAGAGAGCACUAUGACCAUCAGCGUAUGCAGGCCCUUCGCCAGGAAGCCAUUGCUGCGGCACGCUCAGCCAAGUCCUGGGGCCUCAUUCUGGGAACUUUGGGCCGACAGGGUAGUCCCAAGAUCCUGGAGCACUUGGAAUCUCGGCUCAAAGACUUGGGACUUCCCUUCGUGAGGCUUUUGCUCUCUGAGAUCUUCCCCAGCAAGCUCAGUCUACUUCCUGGGGUGGAUGUGUGGGUGCAGGUGGCAUGUCCACGCCUCUCCAUUGACUGGGGUUCAGCCUUUCCCAAGCCACUGCUGACACCCUACGAGGUAACAACCACAUUUGGAAAAUCUGCAGGAGUGCGCGCUUUGUACCUCCUGUCAAGAGAGGGUUGUGAGAUGGCUGGCAUCAUGAGCACAUUCCAAGGCGGCCGUGGCCCUGAAGGACAUUUCCUGGCAGCAGCCCUACCCUAUGGACUUCUACGCCGGCAGCUCCUUAGGGCCGUGGACAGUGAAUCACGGUCGGGACCCCGGGCCCCGGGGUAUCGGCCAGCCAGGCAAGGUGCAGCAGGGGUCGAGAGGCCCGUCUCCAGCCCAGGCCUGUGAGGGCUGCAGCUGCGCAGAGCCGAGGGCCGCACCGCCCGCUCCCUGAGACGUCGCGAGUCGCAGGGCCCUGUGCUCCGGAGGAGCAGCCUCGAGGCUGGUGGUUUUCUGAACAGGAAGCAGAUGUUUUCUCGGCGCUGGAAGAGCCUACAGCGUGCAGGGGUUUGGAGGCGGCCCUGGA